Molecule: ribosomal RNA, 490 nt
Filed under: uncultured bacterium
Lineage: Bacteria
Description: partial 16S ribosomal RNA
Rfam family: Bacterial small subunit ribosomal RNA
Source: RNAcentral
AUUGAACGCUGGCGGCAGGCCUAACACGUGCAAGUCGAACGGUAACAGGAAGCAGCUUGCUGCUUUGCUGACGAGUGGCGGACGGGUGAGUAAUGUCUGGGAAACUGCCUGAUGGAGGGGGAUAACUACUGGAAACGGUAGCUAAUACCGCAUAACGUCGCAAGACCAAAGAGGGGGACCUUCGGGCCUCUUGCCAUCGGAUGUGCCCAGGUGGGAUUAGCUAGUAGGUGGGGUAACGGCUCACCUAGGCGACGAUCCCUAGCUGGUCUGAGAGGAUGACCAGCCACACUGGAACUGAGACACGGUCCAGACUCCUACGGGAGGCAGCAGUGGGGAAUAUUGCACAAUGGGCGCAAGCCUGAUGCAGCCAUGCCGCGUGUAUGAAGAAGGCCUUCGGGUUGUAAAGUACUUUCAGCGGGGAGGAAGGGAGUAAAGUUAAUACCUUUGCCCAUUGACGUUACCCGCAGAAGAAGCACCGGCUAACUCCGUG